GACGAACGCUGGCGGCGUGCUUAACACAUGCAAGUCGAACGGAAAAGCCCUGCUUUUGUGGGGUGCUCGAGUGGCGAACGGGUGAGUAACACGUGAGUAACCUGCCCUUGACUUUGGGAUAACUUCAGGAAACUGGGGCUAAUACCGGAUAGGAGCUCCUGCUGCAUGGUGGGGGUUGGAAAGUUUCGGCGGUUGGGGAUGGACUCGCGGCUUAUCAGCUUGUUGGUGGGGUAGUGGCUUACCAAGGCUUUGACGGGUAGCCGGCCUGAGAGGGUGACCGGCCACAUUGGGACUGAGAUACGGCCCAGACUCCUACGGGAGGCAGCAGCGGGGAAUAUUGCACAAUGGGCGGAAGCCUGAUGCAGCAACGCCGCGUGCGGGAUGACGGCCUUCGGGUUGUAAACCGCUUUCGCCUGUGACGAAGCGUGAGUGACGGUAAUGGGUAAAGAAGCACCGGCUAACUACGUGC
This 469-nucleotide ribosomal RNA is filed under the name uncultured bacterium. RNAcentral describes it as "partial 16S ribosomal RNA". It matches the Rfam family "Bacterial small subunit ribosomal RNA", at positions 28 to 508 of the family's 1533-position model. The record is from RNAcentral.